GCCCCCGUAGCUCAGAUGGAUAGAGCGACGGCCUUCUAAGCCGUGGGUCGCAGGUUCGAGUCCUGCCGGGGGCA
Molecule: transfer RNA, 74 nt
Filed under: Actinomycetota bacterium
Lineage: Bacteria; Bacillati; Actinomycetota
Also listed under: 1 other name
Description: tRNA-Arg
Rfam family: tRNA
About the family: Transfer RNA (tRNA) molecules are approximately 80 nucleotides in length. Their secondary structure includes four short double-helical elements and three loops (D, anti-codon, and T loops).
Source: RNAcentral